This 2678-nucleotide long non-coding RNA is filed under the name Dermacentor andersoni. RNAcentral's name for it is "uncharacterized LOC126534345". Lineage: Eukaryota; Metazoa; Arthropoda; Arachnida; Ixodida; Ixodidae. The record is from RNAcentral.
GGGGGGGGGCAGAUAUAUGUAGCUCACUGUACACGACACAGGGCAAAGGAAAUCCGUGUUCAGUAACUAUGUUAAAUGCCAUGUACGUAAAUUUUACAACGCUACUCGUUCGAAGCGCGCACAGGUGCAUAUUGAAGAAAAGUUUCCAGGGUAGAUAAUUUAGUUCGUAAUUUACACUAAUUUUGCUCUAACCACGAGACAUAAUAAUUUGAAUAUACUGCACGGAAAAACCUAGAGCGAAUUAAAUUGUGUGUCAGCUUCGUGUGUAUACAUAUAGUCUUUCCUAUGCAUUAGGUUUUUUGCGUAAUGCAUUAGCAGUUGACAGCCUAUCUUAUGAUGUGUACUCUGUUUACAUUACAGUUGUUUAUUAGUUUACUCGUUUGUUUUGCGACUGAUGAAAUGCCAGCAUAUAUAUAUUUUCCACAUUUGACAUAACCCUGUAUGUUUUGCAGGGACAACCCAGGACGUGCAUUUCUCAGCACCCAGUCAACUGCCAAAAGUGACUCAAACACAGGCCACCAGUGGAACUCGGCUGUACCACUGCAGUGCUGCAGAAAUUGCCUUCACCAGCGGCUUUGCAACAGCUGUUUCGCAGCAUGUCGGAGACAAUGCCUACGAAAUUAUUGGCCCUGAUCAUGAGAGCCCUCAAGGGGCAAACAACAUCUCUGUUGCAGAAGUGAGCCCGAUACCACUUGGAAGUUACCAUGACAGAUGACACGGCAGCAAUAGAUACAGAGACUGCCAUGUCUACUGCAGCUGCAACAGUGUACGAGGCAAGCAGCAGCGCGUCAGCAUCAGCAGCAGUGUCAGAAGGAACCACACCAGGCCUGGUAGAGCAACAUGUGUGCUAUCACUGACUUUUUUUGUAGUGGAUACAACUCAUUUGCUCAACAUACAAAAGCUUUUCACCACGACAGUGAGCCAGUGUUAUUGUGCAGCAAGUGCAAGACUAAGUUAGGUGUUAUAACACAGUACAAGCAUCCCUUUAAUAUAUGCAAAAGCAAACAUAUUACAGUUGUUGCCUCCCCAGCCAGCCCACAUAGUGAUAACAAUGUUGAACACAUGGUGGGACACACCUCUCCCCCAUUACAAGAUAGUAGAGACUGUCAGUGUUGUUGCUAGAUUGACUGGUCUUUGUAGGCAACUAGAAGGACAACACAGGUGUCAUAAGAUCGUUGUUGAUGUUGUUGUUGAAGAGGUAAAAAAGAAGUUUGAUGCAGCUGAAGUGCCAACUGAUAUUGAGCAAAUCAGAAGCAACCACCUGAGAAAGCAACACUAUCGAAAUUUGGGUAUCUAUGUGCCGCCAACUCUGGUAAGAAUGGCAUAGGACAGAAGUGUGAUGAAAAUCACACAGACACUGCUGUUGCAUCACUGGCCACAGUGAGCAGCGACUUGUAGGGCAAGAGAGUCAACUGAAACUAACAUUAUGAUAUAGUGUCAUGCUCCCAUGUGACCACUUUUCAAGUUAUUUUGCAAGAUACAGCUCAACCUCCAGAAACGAGACUGCAACUUGUCUGUAAAAAAGCUUUCACAAAAAAUUAUUCAUAACACUAUUAACAUAGCAGUAUCUUUUUUUUUGUGUCGGUUCGAGGCUCCCGGCUGUCCAUUAAUGCAAAAAUUGAGGAAAAAAAGAACAUGUGUCGUACUGACACCUUUUUAACAAGUACGAGGGGGACAGAACUUUUCUAGUCAUGCAUCUUCAUCAUACUAUCAAGUUUUUAAAUGCCUUUUAUAAUUAUUAUUACCAGUUAUAUCUGAGUGCAUUUUUUGCAUGUAGCAGAUGUAAAAUCAGGUCAGUUGGAUCAGAUGCCUUAUCUGCAAGCGAGCCCUAUAUUCAAGAAAUUUGAAUUAAAAUAGUUAUGUUAGAGACGCAGUCUUUCAGCACUUUAUUGCCUGUGGUUUAAGCAUUGCUCAAUACUUUUGUGGGUGGCGAUUUCAACCGGCACGGCACUGCGCUUUGCCACAGUCACAUUUGUCUUCAAAGCGGUGCUUACCAUUUGUGUUGAUCUGUUUGUGUAUGCAUAGAGCAAGUUUUUAAUUUAUAUUUUUCUGCAUUCUUGUGCUUGCACCAAGCUUGCAUAAGGCAGUUACAAAAUGUGGGUCACUAUAACAAACUGUUCUGUUGAGCUUACACUUGCAAAUAAUCGUGUUCAGAUGGCCGCACUUCUAUGCGGGUGCACCGCUAGCUUUGUGUAUGUUCUCAUGUUUGUAUAAAGCUUAUAUAAGCUAGUUAGAAAAUGUAUGUCACUAAGCAUUGUGAUAUUCUUUAAAGAACUGCUUGGUUGGUUUUACACUUGUGAAUUAGUAUUGAGGCGGUGGUAUUCCCAUGUAUGCCCACUGCUAGCUUUCUGUGUCCUCACGUGUUUGUAUUAAGUUUCUACAAGGGAGUUACAGCAUGUACGUCACUAAGUGCUGUGAUAUUUUUUAAAGAACUGCUUUGUUGGUUUUACGCCUGUGAGUAACAGUGCUCGGGUGGCACUAGUCAUGUGUAGGUACACAGGGACCAUUUGUAUACAUUAUGCUCAUGUAAAGCAGUUACAAAGUGUAUGUCACUAAUUACUGUGAUAUUUGUUGAAUUGCUGUGAUGGUUUUACACAUGUGAAUAAUAGUGGUCAGGACACAGUACUUGCGGUGUAUAGUUGAAUUUAUACACUGCCAAGACAUGGGCUGUAUACGUA